Molecule: transfer RNA, 76 nt
Filed under: Rhamnusium bicolor
Lineage: Eukaryota; Metazoa; Arthropoda; Insecta; Coleoptera; Cerambycidae
Description: tRNA-OTHER
Source: RNAcentral
GUCCGGAUGUAGCCCAGUGGUCAGAGUAUUGGACUCGUAAUUUGAAGGCCCGGGUUCGAUUCCUGUACUCUUAACU